This is a non-coding RNA of Paramuricea clavata, 466 nucleotides long. The record is from the annotation of a GenBank genome assembly. NCBI's taxonomy places the organism in Eukaryota, Metazoa, Cnidaria, Anthozoa, Malacalcyonacea, Plexauridae.
CAAAAAGAUACAGUAGAUUUGUUGGAUUCGUUGGAUCACAGUUAAUAGAGAUCCAGGAUCAAACUUUGUUGUAAGCUCUUUCAUGUAGUAAUCCUAAAUCUACAAUUGAGGAAGUUAUAAAGAUCGAAGAUUCAAUAUGUCAAAAACCAACAAAGGAAUUUUUGUAGUUGGAGGUUUGGUGACAGCCAUUGGUUUAGCUCUUUAUCCUGUGGCUGUUCAUCCCAAGUUGUUCCCACAAAAAUAUCGUGAGUAUAUUUUAAUACUGAGCAGAGCAACUCCAAAACUAAUCCCGGCUAGUGAUAUGUACAGUAGCCUGAGAAUACAGUCAUAGAUUAAGUAAGGACAGAUGUGUAACUUCAGUAAAAAAGUUGUCCCAUGGUCGCCAUCUUCCUAGCACAGAAUAGAUACUGGACCAGAAGUGUCACUCCUAUGUGUUUUGGCUGAAGGAAGACGUCCAAAAUUUUUU